GGAAUAUUGGACAAUGGGCGCAAGCCUGAUCCAGCCAUGCCGCGUGAGUGAUGAAGGCCCUAGGGUUGUAAAGCUCUUUCACCGGUGAAGAUAAUGACGGUACCCGGAGAAGAAGCCCCGGCUAACUUCGUGCCAGCAGCCGCGGUAAUACGGAGGGAGCUAGCGUUGUUCGGAAUUACUGGGCGUAAAGCGCGCGUAGGCGGCUUUUCAAGUCAGGGGUGAAAUCCCGGGGCUCAACCCCGGAACUGCCCUUGAAACUGGAUGGCUAGAAUACUGGAGAGGUGAGUGGAAUUCCGAGUGUAGAGGUGAAAUUCGUAGAUAUUCGGAAGAACACCAGUGGCGAAGGCGACUCACUGGACAGUUAUUGACGCUGAGGUGCGAAAGCGUGGGGAGCAAACAGG
This 401-nucleotide ribosomal RNA is filed under the name uncultured bacterium. Its description in RNAcentral is "bacterial SSU rRNA". It matches the Rfam family "Bacterial small subunit ribosomal RNA", at positions 358 to 776 of the family's 1533-position model. The record is from RNAcentral.